Long non-coding RNA from Branchiostoma floridae (Florida lancelet), 406 nucleotides. RefSeq lists it as uncharacterized. NCBI's taxonomy places the organism in Eukaryota, Metazoa, Chordata, Leptocardii, Amphioxiformes, Branchiostomatidae. The transcript has 3 exons. The record is from RefSeq and is a predicted model, not a curated record.
UAGUGCGGCUUCAAUAUGCUGGUCUCACUGCAACUAUACCAGUACACAUCCAGCAGGUACAGUUGCCCUGGCUAUAUGAUCAAAAAGGAGGAACGUUCCAAGACAGAGUGACUGUGGUGGUAAAGACCUUCUACCGGUACAGCAAUCUCAAGCGGCUCAUCGCCUCUUUUCAAGAGCACUACCCAGGGACGAGAAUGGUCAUCGCAGACGACACCCCCGGCGAGCUCUUCACCAGUGUUCAAGCACCUAACGUCGAUCAUUUCCGGAUGCCAGAAAAGACGGGUUACUUCGCCGGUAGAAAUUUGGGGCUAUCACAGGUGUCAACGGAAUACUUUCUGUAUACCGACGAUGACCACUACAUCAGGAAUGACACAAGACUGGACAUGUUUGUAUCACUGUUGGACAA